UAUUGACGGAAUAGGGGUCUCCCUUCAUGUAAUAAAUUUAAUUAUAGUUUCCUUUUAUUUUCAGUAAAUAUUCCAGUUCAUGAAGUAUCAAGAGAAGAAAAGUCAAAAGUAUUUGACCUGAGGGUGGGCAGCAUGAUUUUCACACCAGCAAAGAAUUCAAUAACGAUUUUGAGAAUUAUGAUGACAUGGACUAUGGAUGGGACAGUUCCGAUGGACCUUCAGGAGCACAUUCGGAAUCGCAUUCCUCUUUUCAUGAGGAUGAGGGAAUAAACCACGACCAGUUUGACAACUCACUUGCCUCUGAUUUUCGAUACAUAUUGUCGCAAAGCAUACCCAUCGGGCGGCAAGUAACGUACGACACUUCCAACAACAAUGGAUACAUGCUUUCAAAUGACGUGAUUGGCGCUGUGCAGGAUUUGAUGGAUGACCACUCAGGACUUCAAAUGACGUUUGCUUGCCAGCCGAAAAUCGGCAAAUAUUUGUGCAAAAUUCAAUGUGUGAAGCAAGAUGAGGCGAUGACCGGAAGUUGCGAAACCGGAUACUGCAGCUGCAUGCUCAAAGAAGAGCAUAAACUGCGGAAGAAGAUGAACAAACGUUUUUUGGCUGCAAUGAAAGGUUUCGACACGGAUUGCGGUGAUCGGAAGAAAGCGAAACAAUGUAAGCGAUUUUGCAAGGCUCUAACGCCUGACAAGUCCUUCACUGGCCUUUGCGCGAACAACUUCUGCAAGUGCGUCACAUACCCAACGACCCCGGAGAAAAAGAAGAACGCCUGCGAGAAAGCCAUCAAAAACCUGAAGAAGAUCGAGGAUCAAGCCUUGCGACACUUGGGAGUCCAGCCAGAACCUCUCAGCGGCGCCGCGGAGAAAAAUGCCAGCCUGGCCGCCGACGAAGCCAUUCAAAAGUUAAAGGCCAAUAACUCGAUAGACGACUGCACAGAGGAGGACAUCCAGAAUUUGAGGGGUGUCAUCGCGAGCCUGGCCCAAGGCCUCAACUUAGCCCGAUCUCACAGUCAAACAUCAGGCUCAUCUCACGGCGAAAAAAAUGAGUCUGAAUCCACGAUAUACACAGCCUCUCCAUCGUCACCCAGAUCAGUAUCAAAGCAUGAGGAGAGUCAUUUUUCAAGAACCCGCCGAGGUGGUCUUGAAUCUCCAAGGCCUCCAUCCUCAAAAUCAGACUCGUCCAUCCACGAGGAAAUUCAGGUAUCAAGAACAAACCGACCCGCAUCACAUGAAUCGGGCUCAUCAUUCCACGAAGAGAGUCGGGCAUCAGGAACAAGCGGAGGAGGACAAGAUAUUUUACGACUCACGUCGCCCAAAUCAGGUUCGGCAUUCUUCGAAGAAAGUUACACAUCAAGAACAAACCGAGAUGGUAACGAAUCUCCACGACCUCCGAAAACGCCAAGAUCAGGUUCGAAGUUAAUUGAGGAAAUUCACGUGUCAAGAAGCGAACCUCCACGACCCGUAUCUCCAAAAUCAGGUUUGUCAUUCUUCGAGGGGAGAACCGUUUCAAGAACCAACCAAGACGGCAACGAAUUUCCACGACCUGCAGCCUCAAGAUCGCCCAAAUCAGGCUCGUCAUUCUACGAGGAGAGCCACGUAACGAGAACAAUCAGAAAUGGAAACGAGUCUCCAAGAACUCGAUCCGUGCGUGUCGUCACCACGACACCACCAAGAUCAGGUUCCUCGCACUUCGAGGAGAGCCACUCGACUGAAUCUCCAGGACUUCGAUCCGUCUCCUCAACACCUGGAUCAGGUUUGGAGGAGAGUCGGAUUUCAAGAACACACAGAAAUGGAGUCGAAUCUUCCGGUCGAUCGGCUCAGGCUCUGCCUUUGACGUCAUCCAAGUCGGGUUCCUCAUAUUACGUGGAGAGUAGAUCAUCCGGAACGCUUGGUGGAGGUCUCGCAACCCCUACCUAUCCUUCAGUGGUUACAACCGUUUCGUCAGGCACAGCCACUAGAGGUGGGAGUUCACCGUGCAAGUCAAAAUGCGGGAAGCCUUUGUCUUAAAUCAUGGAUUUUGGGAAAAUUUCAGUCGGCUUGCAAGAUUUUUUGGAUAAUAUUUAUUACCUUGUUUUAGUUUUUACCUGUCUUUGGUCUAUGAGAUUUUUGUUCCUACGUAGUUUAGUAGCGCAUACUAAAGACCCCAUCCUCUUUCAUAUCAACCUUUUAUCUCCUUAUCAUCUGCUUUGCCUCUGAUACUUUUCCUGUCUUCAUCUCCUACCUUGGGACUAAGAAAGUACCUUGACGGAAAAUUGUCGUGACUUUUGGAACACUUACACAGCUUAUACACACAAACAAACACUUGGACAACAAAAAAUCAUUCACUGCUAACAAAGCAAUUCACCUUUCUUUCUAUAUUUUCUCUCUCAUCUUUGCGCCUCUCUGUUUAUCAGGGAGUGCCUAUUCAUAAAUAUUUUCCAGGCAAUUUCCCAGUUAUCACACUUCCAUUCACUCGUUUCGGUACUGGUAACCAUAUUGUUGAUGGAAACUUGCAUUAUCAUCGUUAAUUUAAUUAAACAAAUAUCUUCAUUCUGCUUCUCGCUCAACUUUAGUGACUUGUUAUCUCUCAGAUUCCUCUUUCUCGUCAUUUUCAAGGUGCUUAUUUUUUUAAAUAAUUUAUUCAUUUUAUAGAUUUUAAAGUUUUUAACCGCCUGAAUUAAGGAUGGGUUAAACUACAAAUAAUUCUUAAACAUUUUUUCCGUCAUAGAUCCUCAACCAUACCUGAGAAUUUUCUGAACUCUGAUCUUUGUAUUAUAAAAACCCGCUUGAAUACAGCUUUUAACAUUUUUAGAAAGCUAAUUUGAAUACAUACCAAAAUUCAUUCAUGGACCAAUUUCUUCCCCGCUUUCAAGUAAUGCAUCCUAUUUGAGCAGUUCCUGUGAAAUGCACGGUUAUAGCUCGUGCAUUUAUCUAUAAAUUUUUAUGUAAUUAAUUUUCUACGCAUUAGAUUUAGGUAUUCUAUAUAAUUGUUCCGGCUUUCUGUGAUCAUGUAAUUUAUGUUUUUCAUAUUAAGUAAUAUAGAGUCAGCAUUAUUUGUUUUCGGUGCAAACUUCCUACUUUAAAAAAAUAGAAAUAAAGGCAUUGUUCAACAAAUAUAAAUUAAAAUAAUCAAAGAUUUCAAACAAUGUACCCCUAAAAAACGUAACACACCUCCCGAAAAUCUAAUUUCCACACAUACCUAACCUGAAGAUGGAAAGAAAAAAUUAAAGAGAUGUAGAGCUACGGCUUUGACAAAAAUUACUCUAACUUCAUUACAGAUUGCCUGUAAUUCUCUCAUCUUUUAAUUUUUCCAUGGAAAUUCUUUAAUACUAUGCAGAAAAUUUAGUUUGAAGGUAUUACAUUCUCUCAUUUGUCUCCGAAUAAACCCAAAACACAAAGAGCUAGAAAUAAGCAAAACUAAAGGAUAGACAUCAAAAGCUACGCUGAUCGGGCAGUGCUAUGAAAAACUUCGAAUGAACGAUUGAAUGCUUUUGAUUUUUCCGAAUAAAUGGUCCAAAUACUCGCACGGCGAUUUAUGCUGAAAGGAACUAUCUUGCACGUAAACUAUAAGCACAUAGUUUUUUUCUAGCCUUAAUACGUCAAUACAGCGUCUUUGCUCAGUUGUAUUGAGAAAAGUGGACCCUGGACCAUUCCUCUUUAAAUGUUCAUUAAGGAUUUAAGUAUUUUCCACUUACCUAGUUUUUCUUUCAAUUAAAUUAUAAUUAAAGUACAU
This 3711-nucleotide long non-coding RNA is filed under the name Bemisia tabaci. RNAcentral describes it as "lncRNA ENSASIAIIG007334". The record is from RNAcentral. Lineage: Eukaryota; Metazoa; Arthropoda; Insecta; Hemiptera; Aleyrodidae.